This is a long non-coding RNA of Stomoxys calcitrans (stable fly), 223 nucleotides long. RefSeq lists it as uncharacterized. The transcript has 2 exons. Lineage: Eukaryota; Metazoa; Arthropoda; Insecta; Diptera; Muscidae. The record is from RefSeq and is a predicted model, not a curated record.
GUCUGGGGUGGUAUAAUUGAACUUCGCACAUUCAUUGAUGUUUACUAUUUCGUGUUAUUGUAAACUCGUUUUUGGUGGUGGUCGCAAUAACCCAGCUCAAAGCGCAUUUAUAGUUGGCCGCAUCAACCCAGCUGAUGGGACUUGAUAUGUCAAAACAUUUUUGAAUUCCCCUUACAAAAACAUAACGAAAAUAUUAACUUCAAAAUAAAUAAGUUAUAAAUUU